Molecule: small nuclear RNA, 142 nt
Filed under: Otolemur garnettii (small-eared galago)
Lineage: Eukaryota; Metazoa; Chordata; Mammalia; Primates; Galagidae
Description: U1 spliceosomal RNA (ENSOGAG00000018924.1)
Rfam family: U1 spliceosomal RNA
About the family: U1 is a small nuclear RNA (snRNA) component of the spliceosome (involved in pre-mRNA splicing). Its 5' end forms complementary base pairs with the 5' splice junction, thus defining the 5' donor site of an intron.
Source: RNAcentral
ACACGUACCAGGCAGGAAAGAUACUAUAAUCAUAAAGGUGGUUUUCCGAGGGCAAGGGGGUACAGGCCCCUGUGGUUUCCCCAAAUGUGGGAAACACUACUCUAUAAUCUCUGGUAGUGGGGACUGCAUUUGCACUUUCCUG